CCCUCCGUGCCCCUCCAGUACAAGGAGCACCCCGCCCCCCGCCCCGACGACGAGCGCUCGUAGCCCGCGCCCGCCCCGCGUGCCGUGCGUGUCCUGCAGUAUCCUCGUACAGCACGGCACGGCACUCUAGGCCCGACACGACACGUCGAGGUAAACCGACGCAUUUACCUGCCUUAUAUCUCAGCAGACAUCGGUGGCGCCCAGACAUUUCAUUAGAAACGUGUGACUGGAUCGUUAUUUGCCUUGAGGGUUCUACGAAAUACGAAGUUCCUUAUCUCUCUUUAUCCCAAGCUAUUAGAAAAGGAGGGAGUUAUUCGAUUUGGCGUUUCGUAUGAAUUUGCAGUUCUGUUUGUAAUAGUAUGGGUGCAGAGAUAUCUCAAUUCAAAGUAGCUAAAUAAAGCGAUCUUGCUGUCUCUUUUACGCGUGAUAAUAAGUAGCAAUUUGAUACAGAGAUAUUGGCAUAUAAAGAUCAAGAUUAAAUUUGGAUAUGUCUGUGAGUACGUCUAAAUUGAAUUAAUCAAAAUGUACCUUUAUAUUUAAGACAGGUAGUACUUUACAUACUAUAUAUUCAGAUCGCACGGAUGCUCAUAUCGCUCCAACAAUACUUUUAAACUUGAUUGAUAUUAACUAAAGUUGCCACCAAUAUAAGGGCGGUUUCAGACGAGCGUUUUUACGAACGUACGUGCGUGCAAGCUCGUACCGCCGUAACGACCGUAUGCGCGCAGAAAAAUAAGCUAGCCUGUAACCACCCUAACUUUUAAAUUACAAAAUAUAACCUCAAAUACAUCGUUUAAUGGAAAAUCUUGUGUUGACCCAAAAACAGACUGAAAAAUAUCACUAUUAGUAAUAAGAUUGUUACCUAGUUAUUAAAUAUUAAUUUUACUAAUCAUUUCCUAUCUGUGCCGCACAAUAAAUAUUGUAAAAGAAUCAUUAUCAAAUAAAUUCAUGCAAGAAAUUUCAUUAAAUUAGGCGGGUCCACACAGAACGAACAUACUCGCGAGGCGGCGCGCGUUUUCCUCGGCUGAGCGCGCCACCGCGGCCGAGGCACGUCUACACUCGCCGGUUUGUGCGCGAGGAAAUUGUCUCGCGCGAAUGCUCGCUCUGUGCGGACCCGCCUAAGUACUAUUUAAACAAAUUUUGAGGUUAUAUAAUAAAUAGUUAAAAGCUUUAUUGGUGGUAACACUGAAUCGCGCUAGCAAUAACUCUAAUAUAUUGAGUAUACUUAUUGUCGAUCCGGUUGUAUAUGCAAUAUAAUGUUUAUAACAAUAGCUCGUGAACUCUCACUCAUUUUCAGCGUCGUUUGGACGCAACGCCAUUUUUCUACUUACUUUUGAAUAUUGCAAAACACGCGAUCUUCCAAAACGUACAGAACGACACGGCUCGGUACAGCUCUGCCAUAUUUCUAGAUUUGGACAGCGGUGGCAUCAUGGUUCCAUUUUUAUCACUUGUCGCUAUGCCCGUCACUUUCACGCUUACAUACUUGUUAGAACGUGACAGGUAUGGUGACAAAUUAUAAAGAACUGACCAUCUUAGCCCUACAGGUUUUGAUAUGAUGUCUGAUAGCUACAAUAAUCAUACUUACGAUCCGUCCGCACCAAGCAAACGACUAAUGGCCUUCACAAACGUCACUGAUAAUCGCAUGCGAUUUGCAAUACAUUGCGGCAUUUGAUCCGUUGCAUUCUAGCCGGCAAUUAUUUAAAAUCGCAUGCCAUUAGUUGCACCGUCUGUAGUAGCCUGAAUGACUAACAGAUGGCAGACCGUCAUAUGGCUGCGAUCCAAUCGGUUUCUCGUCGUUGGUUGGUUAGUGUGGAAGCAUCACUAGAAUUGGCAUAAUUUCAUUUUCGAAGUACCCAAUGUAUGUAGUUUUUUCAUAAUAUUCCCUCUAAACGUGUUUUUUAGCUCUCAUUAGGCAUAUAGUGUAUGCACUGCCCGUUUUAUAACAAUGUUUUUGUCUUGUCAUUGUGUAUUUUUCGUCGAUAUGUUCAAGUAGUUUCAAAAAGAACUCAGUGUAAUAGUUUCAAUUAAUAAUACAAAUUGUAUGAUGUUGUAUGGACGUAGUUCAUAAGUAUGUUGUAUGAUUUGAAGCCAAGUUGGCAGUUUUAAAAAAUAUAGUAUAAAUGAAUUGAAAGUUUUAGAUAAGUUGACUGAAAUGAAACUGAGUGAGAUUACGAAUUAUUUUGUAGCUGUGCUCCAAUCCAUAGCCAUUGACAGGUGUAGUAAUUAAGGUUUUUUUUUCUGUUAAAUUAUCUAGAGACCCAAUGAUAUUGUAACUUCAGAUAGGUUAUAAGCGUUCGAGAAUUGAAGCGCGUAAAUUGUACAUCAUAUCAGCCGAAAGACGUAGACCUCCACUGCUGAACAUAGACCUCCCCCAGCGAUCUCCACAACGUCCGGUCUUGCGCCGCUCUCAUCCAUAAUCCUGCAACCUUAACCAGAUCGUCGAAGGUCGUCCAGAACCAGGUUAAUUGUACAGUUGCUCUUAAGUUGCGCCUAGGCACGCUGUCACUUUGCACGAGCUGACGAGCUCCCUCACACCGAAAGAGACAAGCUUAUUAGUUCAACACAGAGAUGAAUAGUAUGCGGAAAUUAAUCAACAAAAACAUUCAUUCGUACGUAAUUUAACAAAAAUAGAAGUAUUUUUUAGUUCCUAUUUAUAAGUAUAACCUAUCUAAAGUAAUAAAUCAUUUUAGAGACCUAACACGUUUAUCUCCGUGUUUUAUUCUUGAGGAUGAACGAAACUCGUGACGUAGGGACAUUUAACAUAAAAAAGCCUCUUAUUUUUAGACAUACUGAAGCGCCAUCUAGUGUGAUUUCGCUGCAACUAUGUCUAUAAUUCACCCUUGCGAUUCAGCAGAUUCAUUCUCACAACGCGCAGUGUAUAUAAUAGUAAAAUUGAGUGAAUAUCGAAUUUUGUAAUUGUGAGAAUGUGUUGUGUCGCCCGCCCUUGUACAGUUUAAACUGGUUUACUGAAAAUAAAGAAUCAGCCUUUGUAUACUUUCAAA
This is a long non-coding RNA of Cydia pomonella (codling moth), 2999 nucleotides long. RefSeq lists it as uncharacterized. NCBI's taxonomy places the organism in Eukaryota, Metazoa, Arthropoda, Insecta, Lepidoptera, Tortricidae. The record is from RefSeq and is a predicted model, not a curated record. The transcript has 2 exons.